Cyprinus carpio carpio is the source of this 574-nucleotide long non-coding RNA. The record is from Ensembl. NCBI's taxonomy places the organism in Eukaryota, Metazoa, Chordata, Actinopteri, Cypriniformes, Cyprinidae.
CACGUGUUAGUUUUUCUAAAACAGUAUGCAGUAUACAGUAAGCAGCAUGCUGUUAUUUCAUUUUAAAAACAGUCUUACAUGGAAAGUGCAGAUGAAUUAGACUAAAUUCUUCUAGACAUUCAGUAAUGAGCUGCAAUAAAAACCUUCCCAGAGAUUCAACUGAUUGAUCUGCAUGAGAGUGAGAUCUUUGGAGAACAUGAGACUGGAAUGAGUCUGAUGAGAGAGUUUCUGUACCUUCAACAAUCACUUGAAGAUCUCUAGAUGUUUCUGUGCCGUCUGAGUGAAAGAGUGUUAAUCUGUAAUUCCCAGAAUCUGCUCUGAUCACACGGUUUAUUAUCACAGUCCCAUUAAUGACGUUCACUUCAGGUCUGUUAUUAUAAAGAUCACAUUCACUCAUCCUCAUCCUGUCAUUCUUUACUCUACAAACUGGACCAUCUUGUGUGUUGUUGUUUAUUCUCUUUUUUAUCUGCAGGUCAUAUUCUCUAGUGUCCCGCACCAUCAGCAGAUUGAGUUUGUGUUCCAGAGCUGCGUAACAGGGAUCAGAUUGAUUAAAAUUGCAGAACCGAUCCAGACC